AUUGAACGCUGGCGGCAUGCCUUUACACAUGCAAGUCGAACGGUAACGGGCCUUCGGGUGCCGACGAGUGGCGAACGGGUGAGUAAUGCAUCGGAACGUACCUUUCAGUGGGGGAUAACGUAGCGAAAGUUACGCUAAUACCGCAUAUUCUGUGAGCAGGAAAGCAGGGGAUCGCAAGACCUUGCGCUGAUUGAGCGGCCGAUAUCAGAUUAGCUAGUUGGUGAGGUAAAGGCUCACCAAGGCGACGAUCUGUAGCGGGUCUGAGAGGAUGAUCCGCCACACUGGAACUGAGACACGGUCCAGACUCCUACGGGAGGCAGCAGUGGGGAAUUUUGGACAAGUGGGGGCAACCCUGAUCCAGCCAUGCCGCGUGAGUGAAGAAGGCCUUCGGGUUGUAAACCUACUUUUGUCGGGAACGAAACGGUCUGUGAUAACACCAUGGCUAAUGACGGUACCUGAAGAAUAAGCGACCGCGUAACCUAACGUUCGCCGACGCGACGCCGGUACC
This 508-nucleotide ribosomal RNA is filed under the name uncultured bacterium. Its description in RNAcentral is "bacterial SSU rRNA". It matches the Rfam family "Bacterial small subunit ribosomal RNA", at positions 30 to 525 of the family's 1533-position model. The record is from RNAcentral.